CCUACGGGUGGCAGCAGUGAGGAAUAUUGGUCAAUGGGCGAGAGCCUGAACCAGCCAAGUCGCGUGAAGGAUGACGGCCCUACGGGUUGUAAACUUCUUUUGUCAGGGAGCAAUUUGGUCCACGCGUGGGCUUAGCUAUAGUACCUGCAGAAAAAGCAUCGGCUAACUCCUUGCCAGCAGCCGCGGUAAUACGGAGGAUGCGAGCGUUAUCCGGAUUUAUUGGGUUUAAGGGGUGCGUAGGCGGAAUAUCAAGUCAGCGGUAAAAAUUCGGGGCUCAACCCCGUCGUGCCGUUGAAACUGGUGUUCUUGAGUGGGCGAGAAGUAUGCGGAAUGCGUGGUGUAGCGGUGAAAUGCAGAGAUAUCACGAAGAACUCCGAUCGCGAAGGCAGCAUACCGGAGCACAACUGACGCUGAAGCACGAAAGCGUGGGUAUCGAACAGGAUUAGAUACCCUGGUAGUC
This 460-nucleotide ribosomal RNA is filed under the name uncultured bacterium. RNAcentral's name for it is "partial 16S ribosomal RNA". It matches the Rfam family "Bacterial small subunit ribosomal RNA", at positions 338 to 795 of the family's 1533-position model. The record is from RNAcentral.